CAUAUUUACACUGUAUUCCAUUCCAGCGCGAUGACUCAGAAUUCAGAAGGUUGGUGCUUCAGCCACCCACAGCAGGUUUUCCAGGACACUGGAAGGGCUAAUGUCCUCUUGUUGACACUUGAAAAUGAAGCUGAUGGCCCCGCCCUGAUGAGAUGGGAAGGAAACAAGAGCCAACCCAGCUUUUUAACUUUGACUUCCGCUACAGUUUAGCACUCUGCCUUGGAGCUGAUGAAAUCCCGCUACCUGGGGGAGCAGGAAAACUAGAAGACAGUCUUUUGGCAAACUAAGCUGAAACAAAACAUUCCCUGUGGCGAUUCAACCUAGCUCCGAUUCCCAGGUCCGAUUCAACCCCUAGCCUGGUUUUAAAUGGGAUAGUCAGGUUCCAAAGUACUGACAGCAAAAUUACAGCUUAAAUAGGUUUUGUGGUCUUAAGACAUAAUGACUUACCAUUUUUCACUUUGGGGACCAAACCCAUUUCCUUGUCAGGAAAUUCCUCAGCUGGAAGAUUUAGUGAGGCCAAAAGUUAAUGUUAACCAUUGAAGAGAUUUUGCUUUCACUUACCUGCCUGGCUUGUAUCACUUACCUGCCUGGCUUGUAUUCUUAGAUUUAUAUGUGCAUAGGUUUAUACAUGCCCUUUCUGAGGUAGGAACUCUUGAUAUUAAAAUAUAUUAUAUGACGGAGUUCC
This 685-nucleotide long non-coding RNA is filed under the name Sus scrofa (pig). RNAcentral's name for it is "lncRNA (ENSSSCG00025044107.1, ENSSSCG00035077391.1)". The record is from RNAcentral. Lineage: Eukaryota; Metazoa; Chordata; Mammalia; Artiodactyla; Suidae.